GGCUGCUGUCGAGAGACGACGCGCUCACGUGGCUGAGCGCCACCAUUGCCGACCAUCAGACCUGCCUGAACGGUUUCACUGAGCUCAACCUGUCACCCAUGGCGAAGGCGGCGAUGCCCUUCGUAUCGAUGAAUGUCUCUCAGUUCCUCAGCAACUCGCUCGCCGUGACGAAGGCCAACGCCGCGACUACGCUCGGCGGCGGCGGCGGCGGCCGGCGGCUGCUCUCGAAGGGUUUCCCGGUGUGGGUCUCCGCCGGCGACCGGAAGCUGCUCCAGAGCUCGUCGGUGAAAGCUGACCUCGUGGUCGCGAAGGACGGGUCUGGGAACUACAAGACCAUCUCGGAGGCGGUGGCCGCCGCCGCGAAGCUGAGGAGCGGCACCAAGAGGUUCGUCAUCCGUGUGAAGGCCG
This 408-nucleotide long non-coding RNA is filed under the name Spirodela polyrhiza (greater duckweed). RNAcentral's name for it is "long non-coding RNA (SPOL_LNC000890)". The record is from RNAcentral. Lineage: Eukaryota; Viridiplantae; Streptophyta; Magnoliopsida; Alismatales; Araceae.